Molecule: long non-coding RNA, 152 nt
Organism: Amblyraja radiata (thorny skate)
Lineage: Eukaryota; Metazoa; Chordata; Chondrichthyes; Rajiformes; Rajidae
Exons: 3
Source: RefSeq, a predicted model, not a curated record
UUAUGGGCCUGUCCCACUUACUCAACUCUUUCGGAGACUGUUGACACCUGUCAUGGGUCGUUGCAGGUUGCCGUAAAUGUUCAACAUGUUGAAAAUCCAGCGGCGACCAGAACAAGGUACGGCUCUUUGGGCGACUACUCACGACCAUACAG